RNAcentral lists this ribosomal RNA (421 nucleotides) under Escherichia coli. Its description in RNAcentral is "bacterial SSU rRNA". It matches the Rfam family "Bacterial small subunit ribosomal RNA", at positions 1 to 418 of the family's 1533-position model. Lineage: Bacteria; Pseudomonadati; Pseudomonadota; Gammaproteobacteria; Enterobacterales; Enterobacteriaceae. The record is from RNAcentral.
AAAUUGAAGAGUUUGAUCAUGGCUCAGAUUGAACGCUGGCGGCAGGCCUAACACAUGCAAGUCGAACGGUAACAGAAAGCAGCUUGCUGCUUUGCUGACGAGUGGCGGACGGGUGAGUAAUGUCUGGGAAACUGCCUGAUGGAGGGGGAUAACUACUGGAAACGGUAGCUAAUACCGCAUAAUGUCGCAAGACCAAAGAGGGGGACCUUCGGGCCUCUUGCCAUCGGAUGUGCCCAGAUGGGAUUAGCUAGUAGGUGGGGUAACGGCUCACCUAGGCGACGAUCCCUAGCUGGUCUGAGAGGAUGACCAGCCACACUGGAACUGAGACACGGUCCAGACUCCUACGGGAGGCAGCAGUGGGGAAUAUUGCACAAUGGGCGCAAGCCUGAUGCAGCCAUGCCGCGUGUAUGAAGAAGGCCUU